ACGGAAGGCAGCAGUGGGGAAUAUUGCACAAUGGGGGAAACCCUGAUGCAGCGACGCCGCGUGAGUGAAGAAGUAUUUCGGUAUGUAAAGCUCUAUCAGCAGGAAAGAAAAUGACGGUACCUGACUAAGAAGCCCCGGCUAACUACGUGCCAGCAGCCGCGGUAAUACGUAGGGGGCAAGCGUUAUCCGGAUUUACUGGGUGUAAAGGGAGCGUAGACGGCUUUGCAAGUCUGAAGUGAAAGCCCGGGGCUCAAACCCGGAACUGCUUUGGAAACUGUAGAGCUAGAGUGCAGGAGAGGUAAGUGGAAUUCCUAGUGUAGCGGUGAAAUGCGUAGAUAUUAGGAGGAACACCAGUGGCGAAGGCGGCUUACUGGACUGUAACUGACGUUGAGGCUCGAAGGCGUGGGGAGCAAACAGGAUUAGAUACCCUGGUA
RNAcentral lists this ribosomal RNA (434 nucleotides) under uncultured Lachnospiraceae bacterium. Its description in RNAcentral is "partial 16S ribosomal RNA". It matches the Rfam family "Bacterial small subunit ribosomal RNA", at positions 341 to 792 of the family's 1533-position model. Lineage: Bacteria; Bacillati; Bacillota; Clostridia; Lachnospirales; Lachnospiraceae. The record is from RNAcentral.